GAUGAACGCUAGCGGCAGGCCUAACACAUGCAAGUCGAGGGAGAAGCCCUUUCGGGGGCAGAAACCGGCGCACGGGUGCGUAACGCGUAUGCAACCUACCUUUCACAGGGGGAUAGCCCGAAGAAAUUUGGAUUAAUACCCCAUAAUAUUAUUGGAUGGCAUCAUUUGAUAAUUAAAACUGCGGUGGUGAAAGAUGGGCAUGCGUCCUAUUAGCUAGUUGGAGUGGUAACGGCACCCCAAGGCUACGAUAGGUAGGGGUCCUGAGAGGGAGAUCCCCCACACUGGUACUGAGACAGGGACCAGACUCCUACGGGAGGCAGCAGUGAGGAAUAUUGGUCAAUGGUCGGAAGACUGAACCAGCCAUGCCGCGUGCAGGAAGAAUGCCUUAUGGGUUGUAAACUGCUUUUAUAUGGGAAGAAUAAGGCGUACGUGUACGUUGAUGACGGUACCAUAUGAAUAAGCAUCGGCUAACUCCGUGCCAGCAGCCGCGGUAAUACGGAGGAUGCGAGCGUUAUUCGGAAUCAUUGGGUUUAAAGGGUCUGUAGGCGGGCUAUUAAGUCAGGGGUGAAAGGUUUCAGCUUAACUGAGAAAUUGCCUUUGAUACUGGUAGUCUUGAAUAUCUGUGAAGUUCUUGGAAUGUGUAGUGUAGCGGUGAAAUGCUUAGAUAUUACACAGAACACCGAUUGCGAAGGCAGGGGACUAACAGACAAUUGACGCUGAGAGACGAAAGCGUGGGGAGCGAACAGG
Molecule: ribosomal RNA, 747 nt
Filed under: uncultured Capnocytophaga sp.
Lineage: Bacteria; Pseudomonadati; Bacteroidota; Flavobacteriia; Flavobacteriales; Flavobacteriaceae
Description: bacterial SSU rRNA
Rfam family: Bacterial small subunit ribosomal RNA
Source: RNAcentral